UGCCCAACAGCUAGCCACCACCCCCAAAAACAACAAACCCCCAUCAAUAACCCCUCACACACGACACACAAGUGAAACAAAUCAUUUUUCCCCCCUAGUAUGGGCGACAGAAAAGGAUCCCGAUUGAGCAAUAGAGAAAGUACCGCAAGGGAACGCUGAAAGAGAAGUGAAAUAACCCAUUAAAGCAUAGAAAAGCAGAGAUUUAAACUCGUACCUUUUGCAUCAUGAUUUAGCUAGAAAGCCCCGAGCGAAGAGAACUUUAGUUUGCUUUCCCGAAACUAAGUGAGCUACUCCAAGACAGCCUAUCAAUAGGGCCAACCCGUCUCUGUGGCAAAAGAGUGGGAAGAGCUUUGAGUAGAGGUGACAGACCUACCGAACUUAGUUAUAGCUGGUUGCCUGAGAAAUGAAUAGAAGUUCAGCCUCCCGGCUUCUUUCCUGACCCCUGUCCUAACCCCUAGAGACACCCAAAGAAACCGAGAGAGUUAUUCAAAGGGGGUACAGCCCCUUUGAAAUAAGAUACAACUUUAUCAGGAGGAUUAAGAUCAUAUUAAAAUAAAGGCAAAAUGUUCUGGUGGGCCUAAAAGCAGCCAUCCUUACAGAAAGCGUUAAAGCUCAGAUAUACUAAAUAACCCUCCCUAUCCUGAUAACCAAAUCUUACUCCCCUAACCCUACCGGGCCGCCCCAUGCAAACAUGGGAGCGACCAUGCUAAUAUGAGUAAUAAGAGAGCUUAAGCCUCUCUCCUUGCACGAGUGUAAAUCAAAACGGACCUCCCAUCGAAUCUUAACGGCCCCAACCAAAGAGGGACAUGGACAACAAACCAAACAACCAGAAAACCAUCCAACUAAAGACCGUUAACCCCACACUGGUGUGCCCCCAAGGAAAGACUAAAAGAAAAAGAAGGAACUCGGCAAACACAUGAAGCCUCGCCUGUUUACCAAAAACAUCGCCUCUUGCAAAGUAAUGAAUAAGAGGUCCCGCCUGCCCUGUGACUCUAAGUUUAACGGCCGCGGUAUUUUGACCGUGCGAAGGUAGCGCAAUCACUUGUCUUUUAAAUGGAGACCUGUAUGAAUGGCAUAACGAGGGCUUAGCUGUCUCCUUUCUCUAGUCAAUGAAAUUGAUCUCCCCGUGCAGAAGCGGGGAUAGAACCAUAAGACGAGAAGACCCUAUGGAGCUUUAGACGCCAAGACAGACCAUGUUAAACACCUCCCCAUAAGGAGCCCAAACCAAAUGGUCCCUGCCCUAGUGUCUUUGGUUGGGGCGACCGCGGGGAAACAUAAAACCCCCAUGUGGAAUGGGAGCACCCUCUCCUACAACUAAGAGCUACAGCUCUAAUGAACAGAAUUUCUGACCAACAAGAUCCGGCAAUGCCGAUCAACGGACCGAGUUACCCUAGGGAUAACAGCGCAAUCCCCUUUUAGAGCCCAUAUCGACAAGGGGGUUUACGACCUCGAUGUUGGAUCAGGACAUCCUAAUGGUGCAGCCGCUAUUAAGGGUUCGUUUGUUCAACGAUUAAAGUCCUACGUGAUCUGAGUUCAGACCGGAGUAAUCCAGGUCAGUUUCUAUCUAUGAUAUGCUCUUUCCUAGUACGAAAGGACCGGAAAGAAGAAGCCCAUGCUAUAAGUAUGCUUCACCCUCACCUAAUGUAGAUAACUAAAAUAGGCAAAAGGGCAUGCCCCCUAUGCCUGAGAAAAUGGCAU
This 1698-nucleotide ribosomal RNA is filed under the name Ammodytes personatus (Pacific sandeel). RNAcentral's name for it is "16S ribosomal RNA". The stretch from base 98 to 1618 matches the Rfam family "Bacterial large subunit ribosomal RNA". Lineage: Eukaryota; Metazoa; Chordata; Actinopteri; Uranoscopiformes; Ammodytidae. The record is from RNAcentral.